GUAGGUGGCAAGCGUUGUCCGGAAUUAUUGGGCGUAAAGCGCGCGCAGGCGGUUCUUUAAGUCUGAUGUGAAAGCCCACGGCUCAACCGUGGAGGGUCAUUGGAAACUGGAGAACUUGAGUACAGAAGAGGAAAGCGGAAUUCCACGUGUAGCGGUGAAAUGCGUAGAGAUGUGGAGGAACACCAGUGGCGAAGGCGGCUUUCUGGUCUGUAACUGACGCUGAGGCGCGAAAGCGUGGGGAGCAAACAGGAUUAGAUACCCUGGUAGUCCACGCCGUAAACGAUGAGCGCUAAGUGCUAGGGGGUUUCCGCCCCUUAGUGCUGCAGCUAACGCAUUAAGCACUCCGCCUGGGAGUACGGCCGCAAGGCUG
This 370-nucleotide ribosomal RNA is filed under the name uncultured organism. RNAcentral's name for it is "partial 16S ribosomal RNA". It matches the Rfam family "Bacterial small subunit ribosomal RNA", at positions 527 to 896 of the family's 1533-position model. The record is from RNAcentral.